RNAcentral lists this ribosomal RNA (732 nucleotides) under uncultured bacterium. RNAcentral describes it as "bacterial SSU rRNA". It matches the Rfam family "Bacterial small subunit ribosomal RNA", at positions 57 to 762 of the family's 1533-position model. The record is from RNAcentral.
GCAGUCGUACGCUUCUUUUUCCCCGGAGCUUGCUCCACCGGAAAAAGAAGAGUGGCGAACGGGUGAGUAACACGUGGGUAACCUGCCCAUCAGAAGGGGAUAACACUUGGAAACAGGUGCUAAUACCGUAUAACAAUCGAAACCGCAUGGUUUUGAUUUGAAAGGCGCUUUCGGGUGUCGCUGAUGGAUGGACCCGCGGUGCAUUAGCUAGUUGGUGAGGUAACGGCUCACCAAGGCCACGAUGCAUAGCCGACCUGAGAGGGUGAUCGGCCACAUUGGGACUGAGACACGGCCCAAACUCCUACGGGAGGCAGCAGUAGGGAAUCUUCGGCAAUGGACGAAAGUCUGACCGAGCAACGCCGCGUGAGUGAAGAAGGUUUUCGGAUCGUAAAACUCUGUUGUUAGAGAAGAACAAGGAUGAGAGUAACUGUUCAUCCCUUGACGGUAUCUAACCAGAAAGCCACGGCUAACUACGUGCCAGCAGCCGCGGUAAUACGUAGGUGGCAAGCGUUGUCCGGAUUUAUUGGGCGUAAAGCGAGCGCAGGCGGUUUCUUAAGUCUGAUGUGAAAGCCCCCGGCUCAACCGGGGAGGGUCAUUGGAAACUGGGAGACUUGAGUGCAGAAGAGGAGAGUGGAAUUCCAUGUGUAGCGGUGAAAUGCGUAGAUAUAUGGAGGAACACCAGUGGCGAAGGCGGCUCUCUGGUCUGUAACUGACGCUGAGGCUCGAAAGCGU